UACGGAGGAUGCGAGUGUUAUCCGGAUUUAUUGGGUUUAAAGGGUGCGUAGGCGGAUCGUUAAGUCAGUGGUCAAAUUGAGGGGCUCAACCCCUUCCCGCCAUUGAAACUGGCGCUCUUGAGUGGAAGAGAAGUAUGCGGAAUGCGUGGUGUAGCGGUGAAAUGCAUAGAUAUCACGCAGAACCCCGAUUGCGAAGGCAGCAUGCCGGCUUCCGACUGACGCUGAAGCACGAAAGCGUGGGGAUCGAACAGG
Molecule: ribosomal RNA, 252 nt
Filed under: uncultured bacterium
Lineage: Bacteria
Description: partial 16S ribosomal RNA
Rfam family: Bacterial small subunit ribosomal RNA
Source: RNAcentral